GACGAACGCUGGCGGCGUGCUUAACACAUGCAAGUCGAACGGAAAGGCCCUGCUUUUGUGGGGUGCUCGAGUGGCGAACGGGUGAGUAACACGUGAGUAACCUGCCCUUGACUUUGGGAUAACUUCAGGAAACUGGGGCUAAUACCGGAUAGGAGCUCCUGCUGCAUGGUGGGGGUUGGAAAGUUUCGGCGGUUGGGGAUGGACUCGCGGCUUAUCAGCUUGUUGGUGGGGUAGUGGCUUACCAAGGCUUUGACGGGUAGCCGGCCUGAGAGGGUGACCGGCCACAUUGGGACUGAGAUACGGCCCAGACUCCUACGGGAGGCAGCAGUGGGGAAUAUUGCACAAUGGGCGGAAGCCUGAUGCGGCAACGCCGCGUGCGGGAUGAUGGCCUUCGGGUUGUAAACCGCUUUCGCCUGUGACGAAGCGUGAGUGACGGUAAUGGGUAAAGAAGCACCGGCUAACUACGUG
RNAcentral lists this ribosomal RNA (468 nucleotides) under uncultured bacterium. RNAcentral describes it as "partial 16S ribosomal RNA". It matches the Rfam family "Bacterial small subunit ribosomal RNA", at positions 28 to 507 of the family's 1533-position model. The record is from RNAcentral.